Neopelma chrysocephalum (saffron-crested tyrant-manakin) is the source of this 4677-nucleotide long non-coding RNA. RefSeq lists it as uncharacterized. The transcript has 3 exons. The record is from RefSeq and is a predicted model, not a curated record. Lineage: Eukaryota; Metazoa; Chordata; Aves; Passeriformes; Pipridae.
GUCUCCAGACUAAUGCAUCAUGACACCUCGAUUACAGGAAGUGUGGAUGGCUUCUCCUGCCUCCUCUCUUCUAGCUAGGCUGUGCAUUCCGCCCGGUCCCCUCUGGCUGCUCUGCCUUGGCCGGGUUCUGCUCUCCUAAGUGCCUGCUCACCACAGCUGGACCUGCAAGGCUGGACUGCCACUGAAGCCAUCCUGAGCCUCAUGACUGUCUGAGUCCAAGUCCCUGAGCAGAACUGCUGAGUUUGGACACUCCCAGACAGAGGCAAAAUUCCUUAGCUCAUCUCCAUGCAAACAUGAUUAUUGCCAUUAAAUACACACUGUGAUACACAGUGUCUCUGCAAUGCUCCCUGAUGAGCCCAUGCACCAAACCUAACAGCUCCUGCUGUAGCCAAACACUGAGCUCGGCUGUGGAGGCGCCACUGCGAACUCGGCUCCCACCACUGAUGAGUGGUCUGUGAAGCAGCCUAAUGAUUUUCUAGGGGUCUGAGAUCGUGGUAACACCACGAGAGUCGCACAAAAAAAGAGAGAUCUCCUUCCCUUCCCUCCCACUCCCUGCAAGGCUCAUUUUGCAAACUGCAGCUGCCGAAAAUGGAAAGCCAGCUAGAGCAGCACCCCUCCGGCGGGGUUAUGGAACUGGGAUGCUGCAACAGAAAUCUGCAGGUGGAGGAUGAACAUGCUGGGCUUCCAAAGCACCGUGUUUCGGUGGACUUACUCUCCCAUUUGUGAGACAAUAGACUGAGGAGCUGGUGGCACCACUGCUACCUGGAUAUGGUGACAAUGCCCUGUCUCCUGCCAGCACCACCGGGGACAUGCGUGGCCACAUCCUGCUGGUGCAGCUGGUGGCUGCCACCCUGCAGCACUCUGUGUCUGUCCCCAGGCUUGGCUCAAGACCAGAAGCCUGCAAUUAAACUAGAAGAUACUUCAUGACAAUGAACCCUCAUCCUGGUGGCCACGUGGCUCAAGGCUUCCAUGGGCAACAUCCUCCAUUGCAAGGUCUGGUCCUAAUCACCAUGAGCAGGACUCUGAAAGGAGAGAGAAUCUUGAUGGAAAGAAGCACAUUUGUUCCCAGGACAGCUUCUGGACAUAAAGCUUUUCCCUCCUGUAACUGUACAAUCCACGGGAAAAGAGGUAAAAGACUUGUUACUGACUGUGCUAAUGCCACUGAGAUGUUCAACAUGAAUGUAAGUUGUCUUCAAUCUGAAUCUUUGUUGCAGCUGCUGUCAACACCACAAGUGAAGAUCCCAAAAUAUAAAGCAUUUUGAACUCACUCUUUUCAUUUCCUUUUCAUUAUACGAGGACGAUACUGCCUUAUCUCAAAGACACACUUGCAUAUUUGCACUCUAUAAUGGAGAAACAGCACUACAUACAGGUCCCUAAAAGUAAACACCAAACUCUGUAAAUCUUGCAUAUAAUUAGGAAAUUUCUUCUGGAUUUAUUAUUUUUCCCCAAAGCUGUUACUGCUUGAUUUGGCUGUCAUCUGUGUCACUUCUAUGGAAAGAUUUUCUGUGUUAGAAAGGGAAAAUCAGAGCAGCAAGCUAAUAACUUGUUACAACAGAGAGAUUUAAGGAAGAAAAUAAUGAAGCCGAGCUGCUGACAGCACUGUGGUGGCUGUACCUCCUCUUUAAGUGGAAUCAGCCAGGAUUACCCUUUGUUUUAGAGGGCCCCUCUUAGAAAGAAACCUUGGACCGGAUGGACACAAACAUCCUUCAGACUGCAAAGAAAACAGCUUCCCCCAUAAAUAUCCCCAGCCCAACACCAACAAAACAAAUUUGGUCUCAACUUUAUAACUUUGAUUUAAUUUCCUAGUAUAUUAAUUUUGGCCAUUCAAUCUCACUGAUCUGUUUAGUCCAUCUCAACUGUGACCUUGAUUCGAUUGCUUAAUUGGCUUAGCAAAGCCUGGAUGCGUCAGCUCUGUAACGCGCUUGCUUAUUCUUUCUUGUAAGAUCUAUGAAAAUAAGCAGAACUUAUUUGACAUUAAAUGGCAGUCAAGCUUAGAAAUCCCAGGCCAAAGAUAAUCUCAGGUAUAUGGAGGGCACUCUCUAGUCCUAGUUCGAUCUUGCCUUGUUCAGAUCUGGCAACGUUUGAAUGUUGACAUGUGCCCUUCAGUACAACUUUCUAGUUUGAGAUCACUGUCCAGUAACAGCUUGGCUGAGGCAUGAGCGCUCAUUUUUUUCUCAGAUGACUGCUGUGGGGGUUGUUUCUGCUGGUAGAAGCAGAGUAUGGAGCAGCUGGUGGCAAUACCUUCUGCAGAGACAGUAAAACUUUCUCAUAUGCUUCACUAUCAUCAUUAUACCUGACUGAACCCAAUCUCUGCUGCUGAUUUUAAGCUUGCUGAUGCAAUGCAAUGGCAUUUCUGAAUUUGCUUCAUUUGCAUUUAAACAAUCAAGAGUUUUAAUUAAAAUGCAUAAAUGAAUCAUGCACUAGAAGCCCUAUCUCCCAUGUUAUUUAUUUUUUAUAUUAAACCUUCAGUUUGAUGGAUAAGCACUGCCAUUGGUCAUUUCUGCUAAAAUGAUCCCAUCAGCAGUGAAAUAUUUGACAAAUCUGAUGUUAAAUUUUUCAUCCCUAGCUUUCAGCACUUGUGGUCCAUUGAGAUAAAUAGUACGUCUCACACUUUUCAUCUAUUCUUUGAAGCUCUCUGGGACCAGCACUUCAUUAAAGAGGGAGAGGUAUAGGUCAAAGGAUUGUUUGACAUCCAAACAGUGCUCUCCUUAUGGUUUUUUUAUAUGGCCUGGCACAUCCACAGUGGUGAGAGUGUCCUUCUUCAGUGUCUUACGUUUGUGACAACUAUCGCUUCUUUCUCUAUAGUGACAGAAUUUUGGGUUUUGGUACUGACCUGUUGAUGAAACAGAAAGCAAUGUGGACUUUCUCCUAAGUAAAACCCAUUUUCUUAGUGCUUUUUAAAAAUUAUUAUUUUUACCCUGUGACAGUGGUAUCUGCAGUCAUCACAGAAGUUCCUGCUACUUCCAGAACGCAGACUUUGCAGCAUGGUACUGAAAUUCAACUCCAAGGAAAGUAAUUUGUCCCAAGAACUGCAUCCUAUAGAGAAUAAGGCAGAAAACACACUCUGCUGGUAGCUUCUCUCAGAGGAUUACUGUAAAACUAAGCUAAUAACAAUGCAACAUUCCUUCAAAAACUGAAAUCUUGCUCACAUGCUAAGAAGCUCUAAGAGUAACAGCAUCAUCUGGUGGCUUCUGCCACAAAGAAUGGAUUAAUUGAUUUUUUUUUUUUUGGUUCUACUUUCAUUUAAAUUCCUCAUCUCUCAGGUGAGGCCAGGUCCUGAAGGAAUGUGUGAGAGGAAAAACAGACGGAAAAGGAUAAAAAUGAGAGGAGGUAAUAAUGAAAUCCUCAGCUAUACUGAAACAUUAAACUGCAUCUGAAUAUCUCAGAUCUUUUUAAAAGGAUUUUUUAAAGAACAUUGAAAAACACCAUCCUCAUUGAAGUCAAGCUUCAUUUACAGCAAUGCCAGAUGGGUUGGGAUUUUCGAAGCAUGCAUUAAGAACAGGAACAAUGCUGCUAAAGGCCUUGAACCUCAGAUAAGGAUUGGUGUAAACCUCCACAAAAUCUUAAGACAAUUCCUUUUCAUCAUUUCUUUUGUAAGUGCCAGAUCAAAUCCUUCAAACUCCUCCUGCAUCUUCCUUUCGGAAUUCUUAUUAAUGAUCCUCUUAACACUUGGAGAGGUGGUAUGUAAAAAUGAGAUGAACAUACAUUAGUUUUCAAAAGAGUUUCUGCUGUGAACAAGUGCUAUUGUGAUUAUGACUGUAAAACAAGCUAAUCCACCAAAGCUUACAUCUAUGGUUAGUGUAGUACUGUAGGCUGAAUCAGCCUGCCUGAGGUAUUAAAACUCCUCGACCUUAAUGGGCUGAAGUAUUCCCAGAAAUGUCCAAGGUCCCUUGUAAGAAGUUUACCACAACCCAGAUGAAGCAUAAGGGCCAUACUAGCCCACAGAACCCAAAGUCUCCAGGAUUAGUUGUUGCAAAAGCUUAUUAACAAGGCAAUAAAAUGAAAAUUAUUCCUUCUGGCUUUAUUGGUGCACAAUGUCUGUUUUACAUUCAUACAGUUUCUGUCCUAUCCUUGGCAGUUGUCUUCUUUGUUGUAUUCUUACAAAGAGAGAAAUAUCAAAACAUUAAUUUAAGCUGUCACAAUGCAAAGGGCUGACAGUCAUAUAAAGAAUUAUCAUUGUGGCAGAGAAUGGAGACAAGUUAGUGAAGGAAAAUUAAAGUGACUAGCUAAACAGAACCAAACUUCUUGAAAAAUCUAGGAUAUUGCCAUGACAAUUCGAAUCACUCCAACUUUUUCUUUUUGUGUUUUCAGCACUUUCCUACACAGUCUAUUAUCAAUCUGAUGGGGAAAAGAAAGAAAAAGAAAUCACUUCGCACAUAGUCUAGUUUCAGUGAAAUAUGUAUUUCAAAAGAGAAGAUUCAUCCUGUACCAGUUUGUGCAAUAAGAUAAAUUGCAACUAACAUCAAUCUUUGUAAUUUUCCAUAAUUGUAGAAGUCAGACUGACCAAGAUUAUAGCCUGUCUAAUCUUUUUUGCUAAUGCAUACGAUAUAGAAAUGUUUCUUUGUCCUCUCCAGGUCUUUUUUGCAAAACAAAAAUUAUUCCUUUCCAGCAAACAAUAAGAUUCCUGCAGGUGGUGGCUUGGGGUCUCAAAUUGCUUUGCAUAUUCUUAAGAAUAAU